GAGGAAAAACUGAACGUACCUCUCAGAUAUAGGCUCUUAAUAUACUCUUCCCUUUCCUCCUGCUACCCCCAUAUUUUAUGAGCCAAGAGAAAUGCCCAUGAGGGUGGAGGAAUGUGGGGAUUUCAGUCUAUAUUACCCUACCAUUAAAAUCGGUAAUCUUGAUAUUUAAAAAACCCACAGCAGGAGUUGUAUACAUAGUUUUGGUGAUUCCUGUUAGCGUUUUCAAGUUAAGACUGCCUGAGCCUGGCCUUUUUGCUGACUGCCAACCAACGUUACCUAAAAACAAAGACACAUUGUUGCCAGGCCCUUUACUAUUUAUAUUCUCUGCUCUUCCUUGUCUUACAAAUCUUAAGUUUUUCAAAGACAGCUAGAAGCCCUCAUACUACUUGCCAAAUAACUAAAGGUUUAUUGCAUGGCAUUUUGUUUUCAUUUCCAUAAAGUUUGUCUCCUAAUCCUUAUCUAUUAAGAAAUUUAAAUUUUUCUCAGGUACUUGGUAAACUACAAUAUCCCAGUUAACAUUAACUUCCACGAGACUCCUACAAAGACCACAUUAUGCUAUCUAGAGUGGGUUAUUAUAGGCACUAAAUGUACUUUCAACUCAUUUUGAAUACUCAAACUUACCAGCUCUAGACUGGUGGACGUGUUGCUCCAAAUUGAUUGCAUUUUAAGUUGCAAACUUAGUUUUUGGUUCCUAAACAAGAAUGCCCACUUUUCCUGCUGUGUCAAAUUAUCUGCUCAGUAAUACAAGGCAAGGCCGAGGUGGGAAAACUUGCUUGAGUUUAAGACCAGCGCUUGAGUUUAAGACCAGCCUGAACAAUGUAGUUGUACCCCACCUUUAUAAAGACAAAUAAACUCUAAAAGCUUAGUGUUUGUCAAACGCACAGAAUAAACAGGUGAUGUAGGAAAAUUUUACCUGUAUUGGCGACACUUCUCCCAUAGAAUACAGCAGCACCCAGCAUUAAAACUCUUAAUUGAAAUCAUUAAGUGGCUCUGAAAAGAGCCUUUGGGUUUGAACAUGCGUGCUUGGCCAGUUCCCCAGGCAGCAGCAGGCGCACGGCUGUCUGGAUCUCCCUGGAGGUGAUGGUCGAACGCUUGUUGUAAUGAGCCAGGCGGGAAGCCUCGCCGGCGAUGCGCUCGAAGAUAUCGUUGACAAAGGAAUUCAUGAUCCCCAUGGCUUUGGAGGAGAUGCCGGUGUCGGGGUGGACUUGCUUCAGCACCUUGUAAACGUAUACGGAGUAGCUCUCCUUGCGGCUGCGUUUACGCUUCUUGCCAUCCUUCUUCUGCGCCUUGGUCACCGCCUUCUUGGAGCCCUUCUUCGGGGCGGGAGCGGACUUAGCUGGAUCAGGCAUUGCAACAAGAUAAAGGAGUAAGAAUACACCCCAAAGUGAAG
RNAcentral lists this long non-coding RNA (1390 nucleotides) under Homo sapiens (human). Its description in RNAcentral is "non-protein coding lnc-HIST1H3F-1:1". The record is from RNAcentral. Lineage: Eukaryota; Metazoa; Chordata; Mammalia; Primates; Hominidae.